GAGUAAUGCGUGACCAACCUGCCCCAUGCUCCAGAAUAGCUCUUGGAAACGGGUGGUAAUGCUGGAUGCUCCAACUUGACGCAUGUCUUGUUGGGAAAGUGUUUAGUGGCAUGGGAUGGGGUCGCGUCCUAUCAGCUUGUAGGCGGGGUAAUGGCCCACCUAGGCUUCGACGGGUAGCCGGCCUGAGAGGGCGGACGGCCACAUUGGGACUGAGAUACGGCCCAGACUCCACGGGAGGCAGCAGAU
RNAcentral lists this ribosomal RNA (246 nucleotides) under uncultured Gardnerella sp. Its description in RNAcentral is "partial 16S ribosomal RNA". It matches the Rfam family "Bacterial small subunit ribosomal RNA", at positions 108 to 354 of the family's 1533-position model. The record is from RNAcentral. Lineage: Bacteria; Bacillati; Actinomycetota; Actinomycetes; Bifidobacteriales; Bifidobacteriaceae.